GAUGAACGCUAGCUACAGGCUUAACACAUGCAAGUCGAGGGGAAACGAUAUUGGAAGCUUGCUUCCGAUAGGCGUCGACCGGCGCACGGGUGAGUAACGCGUAUCCAACCUGCCCAUCACUUGGGGAUAACCUUGCGAAAGUAAGACUAAUACCCAAUGAUAUUUAUAGAAGGCAUCCGAAAUGAAUUAAAGAUUUAUCGGUGAUGGAUGGGGAUGCGUCUGAUUAGCUUGUUGGCGGGGUAACGGCCCACCAAGGCGACGAUCAGUAGGGGUUCUGAGAGGAAGGUCCCCCACAUUGGAACUGAGACACGGUCCAAACUCCUACGGGAGGCAGCAGUGAGGAAUAUUGGUCAAUGGGCGAGAGCCUGAACCAGCCAAGUAGCGUGCAGGAUGACGGCCCUAUGGGUUGUAAACUGCUUUUAUAAGGGAAUAAAGUGAGUCUCGUGAGACUUUUUGCAUGUACCUUAUGAAUAAGGACCGGCUAAUUCCGUGCCAGCCGCCGCAGUAA
This 508-nucleotide ribosomal RNA is filed under the name uncultured bacterium. Its description in RNAcentral is "partial 16S ribosomal RNA". It matches the Rfam family "Bacterial small subunit ribosomal RNA", at positions 28 to 523 of the family's 1533-position model. The record is from RNAcentral.